Molecule: non-coding RNA, 149 nt
Filed under: Dyella thiooxydans
Lineage: Bacteria; Pseudomonadati; Pseudomonadota; Gammaproteobacteria; Lysobacterales; Rhodanobacteraceae
Description: FMN sequence
Rfam family: FMN riboswitch aptamer (RFN element)
About the family: The RFN element is a highly conserved domain that is found frequently in the 5'-untranslated regions of prokaryotic mRNAs that encode for flavin mononucleotide (FMN) biosynthesis and transport proteins. This element is a metabolite-dependent riboswitch that directly binds FMN in the absence of proteins.
Source: Rfam by way of RNAcentral
CGACGUCUUCAGGGCGGGGCGAAACUCCCCACCGGCGGUAGGUGCCUUCGGGCACGAGCCCGCGAGCGCUCGCGACGCCCGUCGCGAGGUCAGCAGAUCCGGUCCAAGUCCGGAGCCGACGGUCACAGUCCGGAUGAAAGAAGACGGCC